GCGCGUAGCUCAGCUGGCAGAGCAACUGACUUACAAGCAGAAGGUCACAGGUUCGAGCCCUAUAGCCGGCUCCA
RNAcentral lists this transfer RNA (74 nucleotides) under Caloramator proteoclasticus DSM 10124. RNAcentral's name for it is "tRNA_Pseudo_TAC". The stretch from base 6 to 63 matches the Rfam family "tRNA", at positions 8 to 63 of the family's 71-position model. Rfam says of the family: Transfer RNA (tRNA) molecules are approximately 80 nucleotides in length. Their secondary structure includes four short double-helical elements and three loops (D, anti-codon, and T loops). Lineage: Bacteria; Bacillati; Bacillota; Clostridia; Eubacteriales; Clostridiaceae. The record is from RNAcentral.